This is a long non-coding RNA of Ctenopharyngodon idella (grass carp), 2127 nucleotides long. RefSeq lists it as uncharacterized. The record is from RefSeq and is a predicted model, not a curated record. Lineage: Eukaryota; Metazoa; Chordata; Actinopteri; Cypriniformes; Xenocyprididae. The transcript is spliced from 4 exons.
AGUUGUUUUCUCGUCAUCACGACAUAAAAGUUUUUUUUUUACAGUGAUUGAUUCUGAAACACACUGUACCCGGAUUCUACUGUUGCUAUAGUAACGAACACAACUUUCACGCGCAUCUGAUCGACGGAUAAAUCAUGCGCUCUUAUAUCUUGUGGAUAUUUCAGCAAAAUGUUUACUUCACUUAAUAAUAAAGUUUACAAUAAAUAAAUACAUAUAGGCUAAUCAAUCACUGUUCAAUAAAUGUACGCUAAACAUUUUAUUUGUGUAAUUAACAUGUUUAAUGAUCAACAGAGCAUUCAACAUCUCAAGCGCAGCCAGAGUGCCUUGAGAAAGAUGCCAGAUUAUUCUAUAAUUCUAUAAAUUAUUCGAUUAAACCCACUUUAUUUUCCUCAUUCGUUUGAAAUAAAAUUAUAUUACAUAAUGUGUUUGUUAUUUUUAUUCGUCAUGUAGGAUAGGCUGUGAUAUCAUUAAACUGUCUUCCUCCAGCUUCCAUUAAAAAGAGGUGCAAUACUCCAGAUUUCCAAAAAACAAAACUUUAAUCCAGUUGAUAUAGGCUAAAACAAUCUUGGAAUGCUGUUUGAGAAGAGUGUUUAUGUAUGUGUGUUGUUUCCAACAAAGAAAUGUAGAAAAUACAAUAGGUUACACACUAUCACUGAAUUAAAUGACAUAGGCUAUAAAUCAUAUUUCUUAUCAAUAUACAUUGAGUGAGUGAGGUAAACGAACACUGAAACUGCGAUGAUUAAAAUGGCGUCCUAAAUAUACACAAUAAGGUGCAAACAGAAUACUAUACAGUGACAUCAAAAUUAGUUUUAAUAACUAACUGGUGAGUCAUGCACUAGUCAGAACGAUAACAGAUACACUUUCAAGCAAAAUAAUCAUAUUCAAGCAUUUAACAGUUAAGUUAAUUACUUCCCAACAAACACAGAACGUUGGCACAACGUAGCCAACCUUCUAACAACGUUUUAACAACGUAGCCAAAAGGUUGCUAUAACUACGUUGCGUUGUGAAGGUUGUUACAGCGUUGUCACAAUGUUGACAUCUGACCACCGCUCAGUUCCAUUGCUCAAGGUUGUGCUUGGGUGUCUGGACUACCACUGGACGACAUAAACUCAUCACUGGAUUCCUCUGGAGCUCUGUUAAAUUACAAACGAUCGUUGAUCCGUCUCUUCAUCGAGCCAGGAUACGCUAUUUUCUUACUCAUAGCUUUCAGUCAGGUGACUGGAGCAGAGACCUGGAGGGCAAAACACCCAUAGAACUGCAGGACAGGCCUGACAAUUUUCCAUCUGUUUCUACAAAUAUUACAUUGCGUCUCAAAAAAGGUAAACAAAAUAUGUGAGUAAAAUGCAUGUUUUGGGCACUUGUGAUCCACAUACAGCACCUGCUAAUAAAACAGUGAGAUUAAAAGAUAAAAUUCUUUAUACAGUUUAUCUAUGAUGCAUACUACUGUAUAUACAGGUGAGCAGAUGAGCCCAGAAUAUGAACGCCACUCACUAACUGGGCAAGCAGAUGAGCCUUGAACAUAAAUGCAAUGCCUAACGACAAACUGUAUGUUGCAUUUAUGUUCCAGGCUCAUCUUGCUUGCCCAUCUGUAUAUAUAAUAUGCAUCAUCAAAAAGGUGUAUAUUGAAUUUGGCCUUGUUUUACCCUCCAGGUGGGUGUUCCUAUAAAAACUAGCAAUGAAGGUAAGCAUACACUAUUUUAAGUAUUUUCUUGUAAACAAUCAAAUGGGUCUAUUAAUGAAACUAUUAAAUUUAAUACAAUUAAAGAUUAAGUAACAAUAAAAAGGUAACACUUUCAGAAUGUUUUCUUUUGUGGAAUUGACCUCAGAUCAGUGUAGCUGUAAUUCCUGAUGCAUGAAUGCAUUAGACAAGGUAAGUACUGUGUAAAAGUGAUGUUAGAUAUAAAAAUCGCUCUCUCUCUUGUUUUUUUUUAGGCAAUAUCAACACCAUACAACAGGCCCUGCUCUCCUUACCAAGAACAACACCUGAUCCAUCACGGACAUGGAAAGGUCUUGACACCUUGCCAAGAGCUGGAUUUUUUUGAGAUGCUGGGCGGACUACGGAGAAACUAUACACACAUUCAUUGAUGCCACAGCAACAUUUAAGUAAUUUCUCCUGUAAGGUAAUCU